RNAcentral lists this ribosomal RNA (240 nucleotides) under uncultured bacterium. RNAcentral describes it as "partial 16S ribosomal RNA". It matches the Rfam family "Bacterial small subunit ribosomal RNA", at positions 94 to 334 of the family's 1533-position model. The record is from RNAcentral.
AGUGGCGGACGGGUGAGUAACGCGUGGGUAACCUGUCUCAUACAGGGGGAUAACAGUUAGAAAUGACUGCUAAUACCGCAUAAGACCACAGCACCGCAUGGUGUAGGGGUAAAAACUCCGGUGGUAUGAGAUGGACCCGCGUCUGAUUAGGUAGUUGGUGGGGUAACGGCCUACCAAGCCGACGAUCAGUAGCCGACCUGAGAGGGUGACCGGCCACAUUGGGACUGAGACACGGCCCAA